This 253-nucleotide ribosomal RNA is filed under the name uncultured bacterium. RNAcentral describes it as "partial 16S ribosomal RNA". It matches the Rfam family "Bacterial small subunit ribosomal RNA", at positions 524 to 776 of the family's 1533-position model. The record is from RNAcentral.
UACAGAGGGCUCAAGCGUUGUUCGGAUUCAUUGGGCGUAAAGGGUGCGUAGGCGGCGCGGUAAGUCGGGUGUGAAAUUUCGGAGCUUAACUCCGAAACUGCAUUCGAUACUGCGGUGCUUGAGGGCUGGAGAGGAGACUGGAAUUCAUGGUGUAGCAGUGAAAUGCGUAGAGAUCAUGAGGAAGACCAGUGGCGAAGGCGGGUCUCUGGACAGUUCCUGACACUGAGGCACGAAGGCCAGGGGAGCAAACGGG